GGAUUGUGGCUCAGUGGCAGAACGCUUGCCUCGAAUGUGUGAGGCACUGAGUUCAAUCCUGAGCACCA
Molecule: transfer RNA, 68 nt
Filed under: Marmota monax (woodchuck)
Lineage: Eukaryota; Metazoa; Chordata; Mammalia; Rodentia; Sciuridae
Description: tRNA.Ser
Source: RNAcentral